RNAcentral lists this ribosomal RNA (500 nucleotides) under uncultured bacterium. RNAcentral describes it as "partial 16S ribosomal RNA". It matches the Rfam family "Bacterial small subunit ribosomal RNA", at positions 30 to 523 of the family's 1533-position model. The record is from RNAcentral.
AUUGAACGCUGGCGGCAGGCCUAACACAUGCAAGUCGAGCGGAUGACGGGAGCUUGCUCCUUGAUUCAGCGGCGGACGGGUGAGUAAUGCCUAGGAAUCUGCCUGGUAGUGGGGGACAACGUUUCGAAAGGAACGCUAAUACCGCAUACGUCCUACGGGAGAAAGCAGGGGACCUUCGGGCCUUGCGCUAUCAGAUGAGCCUAGGUCGGAUUAGCUAGUAGGUGAGGUAAUGGCUCACCUAGGCGACGAUCCGUAACUGGGCUGAGAGGAUGAUCAGUAACACGGGAACUGGGACACGGUCCAGACUCCUACGGGAGGCAGCAGUGGGGAAUAUUGGACAAUGGGCGAAAGCCUGAUCCAGCCAUGCCGCGUGUGUGAAGAAGGUCUUCGGAUUGUAAAGCACUUUAAGUUGGGAGGAAGGGCAGUAAGUUAAUACCUUGCUGUUUUGACGUUACCGACAGAAUAAGCACCGGCUAACUCUGUGCCAGCAGCCGCCGCAG